This is a long non-coding RNA of Anastrepha obliqua, 388 nucleotides long. RefSeq lists it as uncharacterized. The record is from RefSeq and is a predicted model, not a curated record. Lineage: Eukaryota; Metazoa; Arthropoda; Insecta; Diptera; Tephritidae. The transcript has 2 exons.
AUAUUUUUCGCACAUUUUUACACUCUAUCUUACCCGCCUCUUACCUUUAAUUGUAGUUUCCGCAUGAUGCGCGUCUCUUCCCAGCGAUCCAGCUCAUCCCAUUCUUUGCCCCGCUUGCGCAGUAAAUAGUAACGAUACAUAACAAUUGUAACCGCUAGCAAUAAAGCCAGACCAGUACCAGUGGCAGCGCCUAGAACCGCCGAACUCACCAUAAUCAUAGGAGAUUUUUUUUUUCUGAGCGCAAAAUCCUGAGGGUUGACCUUAAAGACACACUUCGAAUGCAACGAUUUACUGUAGACUUAUUUUUAUUUUAUGUAUCGCUGCCUAAAAGUUUCGUUGUUGUUAACUGCAAAGAAAUAUAAUAAAAGAAGAAUAAGAAGUUCAACAA